AUGCUGCGGCUGGAUCCGGGGGAGUACGACGAGGAGACGAUGGGCGGGGCCGUCAAGGAGGAGGAUGACUCCGACGAGGAAGGAGAGGAGGACGACUUCUUGGUGGCCGGCGACGAGCCGCGGCCUCCGGAGCAGCAGGGGCGGCGGCGGGGCCGGGGGAGGGAGGAGAAGGAGCGGACCAAGGCGCGGGAGCGGCGCCGGCGGGCGGUGACGGGGCGGAUCCUGGCGGGGCUGCGCCGGCACGGCGGCUUCGGCCUCCGCUCCCGCGCCGACGUCAACGAGGUCGUCGCCGCGCUCGCCCGCCACGCCGGCUGGGUCGUCCUCCCCGACGGCACCACCUUCCCCUCCUCCUCCCACCCCCAGCUCGGGGUGGUGAGCGUGAAGGGCGAGGUGGCGGAGGCCGACGAGCUGGUGGCGCAGCUGCGGGUGCUCAAGGCGGCGGGCGUCGACGGCGUCAUGGUCGACUGCUGGUGGGGCAACGUUGAGGCGCACCGCCCGCAGGAGUACAACUGGGCCGGCUACAAGCGCCUUUUCCACAUCAUCAGGGACCUCAAGCUCAAGCUGCAGGUGGUCAUGUCAUUCCAUGAGUGCGGAGGCAACGUCGGGGACGACGUGUCGAUUCCUCUCCCGGAAUGGGUGAUAGAGAUCGGGAAGAGCAACCCGGACAUCUACUUUACCGACAGGGAAGGCAGGCGUAACACGGAGUGCCUCUCGUGGGGCAUUGAUAAAGAAAGGGUUCUGCAAGGCCGAACCGCCGUGGAGGUGUACUUUGACUUCAUGAGAAGCUUCCGAGUAGAAUUUGACGAGUAUUUCGAGGAUGGGAUCAUUUCAGAAAUUGAGGUUGGACUAGGGGCUUGUGGAGAGUUACGGUAUCCAUCUUAUGCAGCAAACCAUGGCUGGAAAUACCCUGGCAUUGGAGAAUUUCAGUGCUAUGACAGGUACUUGCAGAAAAAUCUGAGGAGGGCUGCAGAAGCACGAGGACAUGCUAUGUGGGCAAAGUCACCGGACAACGCAGGCCACUAUAAUUCUGAACCAAACAACACUGGAUUUUUCUGUGACGGAGGAGAUUAUGAUAGCUAUUAUGGCCGGUUUUUUCUCAACUGGUACGCCCAGGUGUUGCUGGAUCAUGCGGACCGCGUGCUGAUGUUAGCCAGGUUGGCCUUUGAAGGCUCGGCUAUUGCUGUCAAGGUGUCAGGCAUACACUGGUGGUACAAAACUGCCAGCCAUGCUGCUGAGCUGACUGCUGGGUUCUACAACCCAUGUAACCGCGAUGGCUAUGCUCCAAUUGCCCAAGUAUUGAAAAAGCAUGGCGCGGCGUUGAACUUCACAUGUGUUGAGCUGCGCACCAUGGAUCAGCAUGAGGUGUACCCCGAGGCCUUGGCAGAUCCAGAGGGCUUGGUAUGGCAGGUGCUGAAUGCUGCGUGGGAUGCCGGGAUACAAGUGGCCAGCGAGAACGCCCUGCCUUGCUACGACAGGGAUGGCUUCAACAAGACCUUGGAGAACGCCAAGCCGCGGAACGACCCGGAUGGGCGGCACCUGUUCGGGUUCACCUACCUGAGGCUCUGCAGCACCCUCUUCGAGGGACCCAACCUCCCCGAGUUUGAGCGUUUCGUCAAGAGGAUGCACGGCGAGGCGGUUCAUGACUUGAGGGCGUAG
Molecule: ribosomal RNA, 1656 nt
Filed under: Triticum aestivum (bread wheat)
Lineage: Eukaryota; Viridiplantae; Streptophyta; Magnoliopsida; Poales; Poaceae
Description: partial small subunit ribosomal RNA
Source: RNAcentral